This is a non-coding RNA of Phrynosoma platyrhinos (Desert horned lizard), 72 nucleotides long. The record is from the annotation of a GenBank genome assembly. NCBI's taxonomy places the organism in Eukaryota, Metazoa, Chordata, Lepidosauria, Squamata, Phrynosomatidae.
AGUGUGGUAGUGUAGUGGUUUGAGCAUUGGACUUUGACUCUGGAGACCAGGAUUCAAAUCCUGGCUGAACCA